This 48-nucleotide ribosomal RNA is filed under the name Pseudocercospora sp. FBR-2013. Its description in RNAcentral is "partial 28S ribosomal RNA". Lineage: Eukaryota; Fungi; Ascomycota; Dothideomycetes; Mycosphaerellales; Mycosphaerellaceae. The record is from RNAcentral.
GGUUGACCUCGGAUCAGGUAGGGAUACCCGCUGAACUUAAGCAUAUCU